UUGGGCCCCAAGUAUACUGAUAAGUUGGGGUCAGGUUUCCAGGAGUAGUGCAAGACAUAUGGUGAAAAUUAUUGUUUGGGGCAGUUGAUUUAUUGGCAUAACCAAGCUAAUGCUGAUCCAGAUUGCAGCCUAGGGAGGGCGAGAAGGGGUUGUUUGUUGUUGCUUGAUAUUGCCUCCUAUGCCAAGGUUCAGAAGCCAUCGCAUCGUUAACGUGUCUAUGGCCCAAGAACCCUCAGAUUUGUGCUUGCAAGAAUUCUUGAUGGAAAUCAUGCAAAAGAUCCUGAUGGAAAGAUCCCUCAUAAAUUCCAUAUAUAUGACCUUGCAUUUGUGGUAUGCGGAUAUUGAUAAAAUAACACUUAUCCGUUGAGCUACAAACCUGGGUCCCUAUUCUUGAGUCUUUUGUUUUUUGGGGCAAAGCUGAAAACUUUGUUCACAUUAAGAAAGGUCAAAUAGAUCUACCACUGGGAAUACCUAUAAUGUCAGGCAAUAUCUGCAGUGCUUUGGGAGGGCUCAUCCGGGAAGCCCAAAGUAAACAAAAAAGAUUCAUUUACAUCAAUGAAAAGCUUAUAUAAAAGAUUGUUAGCCUUAUUGGAUUCCCUUGAUAUGUAUUCAAUUAUUAAUAUAUAGUUCAAAACAUUAUUUUCUCUUCUAGAUUCUGGUCUUUGAGUUUGAGCCAGCCAGAUUUCUUGGAGACUCGAUGCUUUUACCAUUUAUUCUAAAGGCUAGUAGAUAAAUAAUCGACUCUUAAUUUUUGUACAGGAACUUACGUUCUUAUAAUUACUUCUCGUAAGGAAGUUGGCAGCUAUCUUGGUUUUCCCAUUUUCCGGGUGAUGUCUGAGUUUCUAUCGUGCAAUGAUGCUUUGCAGCUUUCAACUGCUCAAGAAAGAAUGUGCAUAUAUGAUUUUGAAAUUCCAGAAGGCUGCUGCAAGGGGACCAUUGAAAGUAACAUAUGAAAAAUACUUGCAUCCUGAUCAAAGUAGUGUUGCAGCAAUAGAAGCAAUUGACAGGCUUCCUCCGUGACAUCAAGUCCUAUAGGAGCUCAGAUUAUGACACAAUGCGGUACAAUGAGGACAUGAAAUUCAGGAAGAUGGCAUUGGGCAGGCAGGAGUACAUUAGACUUUCUUUCCCUCAUAAGAAUAUAUGGAUCUUGAGUUUAUAAGAAGAGAGAAAAUGCGAAGAAAAGAUUCACUUGCAGAUCAAAUCCGGGCUGCCAAAAGCAAAAGAGUGGAAUGUGUAGCAGUCACACACUCUUUGGUUCAGACCCUACUGAAUUUUUGUACAAACCAAGAAAUUAUCAAAUUGAAAAUAAGAUCUAUUUGUGAUUCAAAUUGUUUGAAUGGAGAAUGACUUUUUAAAUUUUAUUGUAA
Molecule: non-coding RNA, 1367 nt
Organism: Nelumbo nucifera (sacred lotus)
Lineage: Eukaryota; Viridiplantae; Streptophyta; Magnoliopsida; Proteales; Nelumbonaceae
Source: RefSeq, a predicted model, not a curated record